RNAcentral lists this ribosomal RNA (279 nucleotides) under uncultured bacterium. RNAcentral's name for it is "partial 16S ribosomal RNA". It matches the Rfam family "Bacterial small subunit ribosomal RNA", at positions 506 to 784 of the family's 1533-position model. The record is from RNAcentral.
UGCCAGCAGCCGCGGUAAUACGGAGGAUGCAGGCGUUAUCCGGAUUUAUUGGGUUUAAAGGGUGCGCAGGCGGGACGAUAAGUCAGUGGUGAAAUCCUACAGCUUAACUGUAGAACUGCCAUUGAUACUGUUGUUCUUGAGUACAGUUGAGGUAGGCGGAAUGUGUCAUGUAGCGGUGAAAUGCUUAGAUAUGACACAGAACACCGAUUGCGAAGGCAGCUUACUAAACUGUUACUGACGCUGAGGCACGAAAGCGUGGGGAGCAAACAGGAUUAGAUA